UUUCUAAGUCUGAUGUGAAAGCCUUCGGCUUAACCGGAGAAGUGCAUCGGAAACUGGAUAACUUGAGUGCAGAAGAGGGUAGUGGAACUCCAUGUGUAGCGGUGGAAUGCGUAGAUAUAUGGAAGAACACCAGUGGCGAAGGCGGCUACCUGGUCUGCAACUGACGCUGAGACUCGAAAGCAUGGGUAGCGAACAGGAUUAGAUACCCUGGUAGUCCAUGCCGUAAACGAUGAGUGCUAGGUGUUGGAGGGUUUCCGCCCUUCAGUGCCGGAGCUAACGCAUUAAGCACUCCGCCUGGGGAGUACGACCGCAAGGUUGAAACUCAAAGGAAUUGACGGGGGCCCGCACAAGCGGUGGAGCAUGUGGUUUAGUUCGAAGCUACGCGAAGAACCUUACCAGGUCUUGACAUCUUGCGCCAACCCUAGAGAUAGGGCGUUUCCUUCGGGAACGCAAUGACAGGUGGUGCAUGGUCGUCGUCAGCUCGUGUCGUGAGAUGUUGGGUUAAGUCCCGCAACGAGCGCAACCCUUGUCAUUAGUUGCCAGCAUUAAGUUGGGCACUCUAAUGAGACUGCCGGUGACAAACCGGAGGAAGGUGGGGACGACGUCAAGUCAUCAUGCCCCUUAUGACCUGGGCUACACACGUGCUACAAUGGGCAGUACAACGAGAAGCAAGCCUGCGAAGGCAAGCGAAUCUCUGAAAGCUGUUCUCAGUUCGGACUGCAGUCUGCAACUCGACUGCACGAAGCUGGAAUCGCUAGUAAUCGCGGAUCAGCACGCCGCGGUGAAUACGUUCCCGGGCCUUGUACACACCGCCCGUCACACCAUGGGAGUCUGCAAUGCCCAAAGCCGGUGGCCUAACCUUCGGGAAGGAGCCGUCUAAGGCAGGGCAGAUGACUGGGGUGAAGUCGUAACAAGGUAACCGUA
RNAcentral lists this ribosomal RNA (924 nucleotides) under uncultured bacterium. Its description in RNAcentral is "bacterial SSU rRNA". It matches the Rfam family "Bacterial small subunit ribosomal RNA", at positions 580 to 1504 of the family's 1533-position model. The record is from RNAcentral.